This 430-nucleotide long non-coding RNA is filed under the name Sinocyclocheilus anshuiensis. Its description in RNAcentral is "lncRNA (ENSSANG00000043545.1)". Lineage: Eukaryota; Metazoa; Chordata; Actinopteri; Cypriniformes; Cyprinidae. The record is from RNAcentral.
CUCACACAUUCUCGUAACUGACAUCCUGAGCAGUUCGCAAUUCACUCUCUUGACAGCACAUGGGGCCUGGCAACUGCUCCAGGAUCCCACUUAUCUGCUAAGACACAGCGCAGGAGCAGGGCCUGGAUCUGGAGCCACCUGUCCGGAUGGAGGAGGAGAAGGAGGUGAUGGAGGAGGAGAAGGAGGUGAUGGAGGAGAUGGAGGUGGAGGAGAGAGUGGUGGAGAUAGAACAUCCUCUGCCAUGCCUCAGUGAAUCUGACACACAAGGCAUUAUCAAGGGCAGAGAUCUAUUCGGAUAUGUCGGCAUUGAGGCAGUGUUGGACCAGAUGAGACGCAAAACCAUGAAGGCUGGCUUUGAAUUUAAUAUCAUGGUGGUUGGUCAGAGCGGUCUGGGGAAGUCAACGCUCGUAAACACACUCUUCAAGUCCAA